Molecule: ribosomal RNA, 497 nt
Filed under: uncultured bacterium
Lineage: Bacteria
Description: partial 16S ribosomal RNA
Rfam family: Bacterial small subunit ribosomal RNA
Source: RNAcentral
ACUCAAAGGAAUAGACGGGGGCCCGCACAAGCGGUGGAGCAUGUGGUUCAAUUCGAUGCAACGCGAAGAACCUUACCUAGAUUUGACAUGUAUUGGAAGACUCGUAGAAAUACGGUCGCUCGCAAGAGUCGAUACACAGGUGCUGCAUGGCUGUCGUCAGCUCGUGUCGUGAGAUGUUGGGUUAAGUCCCGCAACGAGCGCAACCCUUGCCUUUAGUUGCCAGCAUUUAGUUGGGCACUCUAAAGGGACUGCCGACGUUAAGUCGGAGGAAGGUGGGGAUGACGUCAAGUCCUCAUGGCCUUUAUAUCUAGGGCUACACACGUGCUACAAUGGACAAUACAGAGGGUCGCCAAACUGCGAAGUGGAGCUAAUCCCAGAAAAUUGUUCUAAGUUCGGAUUGGAGUCUGCAACUCGACUCCAUGAAGCUGGAAUCGCUAGUAAUCGCGGAUCAGAACGCCGCGGUGAAUACGUUCCCGGGCCUUGCACACACCGCCCGU